UGAGGAAUAUUGGUCAAUGGACGAGAGUCUGAACCAGCCAAGUAGCGUGCAGGAUGACGGCCCUAUGGGUUGUAAACUGCUUUUGUUUGGGAAUAAUCGACAUUACGUGUAAUGUUUUGCAUGUACCAUUCGAAUAAGGACCGGCUAAUUCCGUGCCAGCAGCCGCGGUAAUACGGAAGGUCCAGGCGUUAUCCGGAUUUAUUGGGUUUAAAGGGAGUGUAGGCGGUUGGUUAAGCGUGUUGUGAAAUGUAGAUGCUCAACAUCUGACUUGCAGCGCGAACUGGCUGACUUGAGUACACCCAACGUAGGCGGAAUUCAUGGUGUAGCGGUGAAAUGCUUAGAUAUCAUGAAGAACUCCGAUUGCGAAGGCAGCUUACGGGAGUGUUACUGACGCUUAAGCUCGAAGGUGCGGGUAUCGAACAGG
RNAcentral lists this ribosomal RNA (424 nucleotides) under Verrucomicrobiota bacterium. Its description in RNAcentral is "Verrucomicrobia bacterium partial 16S ribosomal RNA". It matches the Rfam family "Bacterial small subunit ribosomal RNA", at positions 355 to 776 of the family's 1533-position model. The record is from RNAcentral. Lineage: Bacteria; Pseudomonadati; Verrucomicrobiota.